GAUGAACGCUAGCGACAGGCCUAACACAUGCAAGUCGAGGGGCAUCACAGAGUAGCAAUACUUGGGUGGCGACCGGCGCACGGGUGAGUAACGCGUAUGCAACCUACCUACAACAGGGGGAUAACCCGGAGAAAUUCGGACUAAUACCGCAUAAAACAGGGGUCCCGCAUGGGAAUAUUUGUUAAAGAUUUAUCGGUUGUAGAUGGGCAUGCGUUCCAUUAGUUAGUUGGCGAGGUAACGGCUCACCAAGACGUCGAUGGAUAGGGGAACUGAGAGGUUUGUCCCCCACACUGGAACUGAGACACGGACCAGACUCCUACGGGAGGCAGCAGUGAGGAAUAUUGGUCAAUGGGCGAGAGCCUGAACCAGCCAAGUCGCGUGAAGGAAGACGGCCUUAUGGGUUGUAAACUUCUUUUGCAGGGGAAUAAAAAGGAGUACGUGUACUCUAUUGCAUGUACCCUGCGAAUAAGCAUCGGCUAACUCCGUG
RNAcentral lists this ribosomal RNA (487 nucleotides) under uncultured bacterium. RNAcentral describes it as "bacterial SSU rRNA". It matches the Rfam family "Bacterial small subunit ribosomal RNA", at positions 28 to 507 of the family's 1533-position model. The record is from RNAcentral.